RNAcentral lists this ribosomal RNA (253 nucleotides) under uncultured bacterium. RNAcentral describes it as "partial 16S ribosomal RNA". It matches the Rfam family "Bacterial small subunit ribosomal RNA", at positions 524 to 776 of the family's 1533-position model. The record is from RNAcentral.
UACAGAGGAGCCAAGCGUUGUCCGGAUUGACUGGGCGUAAAGCGCACGCAGGCGGUCGUGCACGUGGGGUGUGAAAACUGGCGGCUUAACUGCCAGAGGCCACCUCAUACGGCGCGACUCGAGCCCGUGAGAGGUCCAUGGAAUUGCCGGUGUAGUGGUGAAGUGCGUAGAGAUCGGCAGGAACACCCAGGGAGAAAUCAGUGGACUGGCACGGUGCUGACGCUCAGGUGCGAAAGCGUGGGGAGCGAACCGG